CCUACGGGAGGCAGCAGUGGGGGAUAUUGGGCAAUGGGGGGAAGCCUGAUCCAGCGACGCCGCGUGAGGGAAGAAGGAUCUCGGGAUGUAAAGCUCUAUCGGCAGGGAAGAAGAAAUGACGGUACCUGAGGAAUAAGCCCCGGCUAACUACGUGCCAGCAGCCGCGGUAAUACGUAGGGGGCAAGCGUUGUCCGGAAUUACUGGGUGUAAAGGGCGCGUAGACGGGCAUGUAAGUCUGAAGUGAAAGCCGGGGGCUCAACCCCCGGACUGCUCUGGAAACUAUUGGACUGGAGUGCAGGAGAGGCGGGCGGAAUUCCUAGUGUAGCGGUGAAAUGCGUAGAUAUUAGGAGGAACACCAGUGGCGAAGGCGGCUCACUGGACUAUAACUGACGUUGAGGCUCGAAAGCGUGGGGAGCAAACAGGAUUAGAUACCCGGGUAGUC
Molecule: ribosomal RNA, 442 nt
Filed under: uncultured bacterium
Lineage: Bacteria
Description: partial 16S ribosomal RNA
Rfam family: Bacterial small subunit ribosomal RNA
Source: RNAcentral